RNAcentral lists this ribosomal RNA (495 nucleotides) under uncultured bacterium. Its description in RNAcentral is "partial 16S ribosomal RNA". It matches the Rfam family "Bacterial small subunit ribosomal RNA", at positions 28 to 507 of the family's 1533-position model. The record is from RNAcentral.
GACGAACGCUGGCGGCGUGCCUAAUACAUGCAAGUAGAACGCUGAAGGAGGAGCUUGCUUCUCCGGAUGAGUUGCGAACGGGUGAGUAACGCGUAGGUAACCUGCCUGGUAGCGGGGGAUAACUAUUGGAAACGAUAGCUAAUACCGCAUAACAGUAGAUGUUGCAUGACAUUUGCUUAAAAGGUGCAAUUGCAUCACUACCAGAUGGACCUGCGUUGUAUUAGCUAGUUGGUGAGGUAACGGCUCACCAAGGCGACGAUACAUAGCCGACCUGAGAGGGUGAUCGGCCGAACUGGGACUGAGACACGGCCCAGACUCCUACGGGAGGCAGCAGUAGGGAAUCUUCGGCAAUGGACGGAAGUCUGACCGAGCAACGCCGCGUGAGUGAAGAAGGUUUUCGGAUCGUAAAGCUCUGUUGUAAGAGAAGAACGAGUGUGAGAGUGGAAAGUUCACACUGUGACGGUAUCUUACCAGAAAGGGACGGCUAACUACGUG